RNAcentral lists this long non-coding RNA (6559 nucleotides) under Jatropha curcas. RNAcentral describes it as "long non-coding RNA (JCUR_LNC001011)". The record is from RNAcentral. Lineage: Eukaryota; Viridiplantae; Streptophyta; Magnoliopsida; Malpighiales; Euphorbiaceae.
CUAUCUAGCUAUGUAUAUAUAUAACCAUGCAUAGUAGUGAAGCACUCAGUUGGCUGAUGGAGGUUUGUAGGGUGACUUCAACUUCCGUGGUGGCUUCUCUCCUUUGCCUUUAGGAGGAUCUUGGGGUGGUUUGCGUUCUGGGAAUGGUUUUCCUCCUUUACCGUUAUCAGCCUCCAUCAAAAUGUGCCCAGGGAGAGGAUCAUGUGGAGGCUUAUGCUCUGGGGGUGGUCUCUCACCAUGUUCCUUUGGAGGUUGCUGUGGCUCUUCAUGUUCAUGGGGUGGUUUAUGUUCCGGCAGUGGCUUCUCUCCUUUGCCUUUAGGAGGCUCUUGGGGUGGUUUGCGUUCUGGGAAUGGUUUUCCUCCUCUACCCUCAUCAUCCUCCAUCAAAAUGUGUCCAGGGCGAGGAUCAUGAGGAGGCUUAUACUCUUUGGGGGGUUUCUCACCAUGUUCCUUUGGAGGUUGCUGUGGCUCUUCAUGUUCAUGGGGUGGUUUAUGUUCCGGCAGUGGCUUCUCUCCUUUACCCUUAGGAGGCUCCUGGGGUGGUUUAUGCUCUGGAAAUGGCUUUCCUCCUUUACCUUCAUCAUCCUCCAUCAAAAUGUGUCCAGGGUGAGGAUCAUGAGGAGGCUUAUCCUCUUUGGGUGGUUUCUCACCAUGUUCCUUUGGAGGUUGUUGUGGUCCUUCAUGUUCUGGAGGUGGUUUCUCUCCCUUACCCUUAGGAGGCUCUUGGGGUGGUUCGUGUUCUAGAGGUGGCUUCUCUCCCUUACCUUUAGGAAGCUCUUGGGGUGGUUUCUCACCAUGUUCCUUUGGAGGUUGUUGUGGUCCUUCAUGUUCAUGGGGUGGUUCAUGUUCUGGAGGUGGCUUCUCUCCCUUACCCUUAGGAGGCUCUUGGGGUGGCUUCUCUCCCUGACCUUUAGGAGGCUCUUGCUGCGGUUUAUGCUCUGGGAAUGGUUUCCCUCCUCUACCCUCAUCAUCCUCUAUCAAAAUGUGUCCAGGAUGAGGAUCAUGUGGAGGUUUCUGCUCCGGUGGUGGCUUUUCACCCUUUCCUCUAGGUGGCUCUUGUGGCUCCUCAUGUUCAGGAGGUGGUUUAUCGCCUUUACCCCUAGGAGGCUCAUGAGGUGGUUCUUGUUCUGGAGGUGGCUUCUUGGGAGGCCCGUGUGGGCCCUCAUGGGAUGGUUCAGGUUCAUGCCUAGGCCUGGGAUCGCCACCAGCCUGAAACUGAUCAGCAAGUGAGGGUGUUGUGGUGCUGAUGACCACAACUCCCAGGAAAAACAAGACUAGCAAGUAUUUAGGAUACAUGUUGGCUUCGAGCUUUAGUGAUGCAAAACUUGUGAGGAUCGAGUGGCCUUUUAUAGCAGAUCAUUGGGGCCUACGUUACAUUACUACGUCUGUCAUGUUCCAUAGUGAGGUCCAUUCAUGAGUCCAACUGCGUUGAAAAAUGUGACAAAAAUGUUUUUUAGUAAUAUUUAUUUAUAUUUUUCAAAGAAUAUAAAGUUUGAAGCUCUUUCUCCACUGAGAGGUCAAAUAAUUUCUGUGGUAGCAUUAUCAUGCUUGCUUCUUAUUGGCUAGAAUUGCGUCUGGACUUUUAGCUUUCCAUUUCACACCGGAUCUCAAACGGAUAAAUUAUUGUUGGCAGAAAGCAUAUGCAGUAGGAAAUAGGAAAUAGCGUGAGUAUUAUAAAAGUUGAAUUGACCUUUUUGUCUUUUUCUUUUUCAUCCCAUAGGCUUCGAUUACGUGAUGGAAAUAAGUUUGUUUUUUCCCCACUUUCCGUCAAAUAUUUUACCACUAGGAAAGUGUAGAUGGGCAUGGAUAAAAAUUUUAUAAUGCAUUUCUCCAUGAAAAGAAUUUUAUAUGCAUGAAUUCCCUACUGUGGGCUAUCAACUAGUUUUUUCUUUCUUUCUUUUUUUUUUUUUUAAAUUGGUAGCUAAAUGCAUAAAUACAUUUUUAUAUUUUAUAAAAAAAAUUCAUUAAAUAUUUUAAUUUAUAAAACUAUGCCGAUUAAAUAUUUCAACUAAUAAAAUUUUUCAAUUGAAUAUUUCAACUUGUAAAAUUUAAUAUAUUAAAUAUUUAUUAAAUAGUUAAAAUAUGUGAAAGUUAUUAUCCCAAAAUUAUAAUAAAAAUACAUAAAAUUAAUUUUUUUUUUUACUUAUAGACUUUAAAAUGCAAAAAACUAUUAUUGUUGGUGUAGAAAAAUAUGAAAAUAUAUUAAAAUUCAUAACUUUAAAUACAUAAUAGAUCCUUACAAAAUUAGAGAUAUCGCAGGAUUUUUUAUUAUUGAAGUACAAGAAUAUAUUUAACCGUUAACAAUUAUUCUUACAUGAAUAACCACAUUAAAUGGAUUUAGUUCACUUUGCGGUAUAUGAACUAACUUACUUUUUCGGGGAAAAAAACUAACUUAUAAGUAUUUAUUAUAUGAGUAAGACAAGUAUAAUAAUAUAGAAAUUAAUUUCAUAGGGUGAAUGUAAUAAUUCAUUACGUAAUAUAUAGAUAAUAGCUUACUAAUCCAAGUCUUUGAUAGCUAUUGAUGAAUUCAUAAUUAUACAGGACAUAAUAAUUUUUGAUUUUUACUAAAAGUUAAUAAGUCAAAAAAAAUUUAUUUUCCAUAAUAAUUCACUAAUUUCAACUAAAAUUAUAAAUAAGAGUAAAUUGAUAAAUUAUGAAAUAAAACUUCAUUAAUAUAAUUUUUUUUAAGUUUCGUGUGAAAAUUGAACUGAAUAAUUAUUUUUAGAUUUAUAGGAUAUAUAUUAAACUUUUGAAAACGUAGUCUCAGGUGAUAUAUUUCGUGGUUGAAGUUGAAAAUUUUGACAAAUUCUUUUCUUGUUCUUUUUCAAACGAUUUUUUCUUCUUUUUCUUUUUUUUUUUCAACUGAGGAUGACAUGGUAUUGUGAAAAAAAAAAAGCAGACUGCUAAACAAAACUAACGACGGGGAUGAGAAUGACAACAAGAGAACUAGAUGCAGUGAAUAGCUCGCGAUGGAGACAAACAUCGAUUGAGAAAUAUAUUUUGUCCCCACGAAGUCGAAAAUUUUGACAAAUUGCCAACUCCCAUUUCUUUAGCAUUGUCAACUUUCUGGCUACUUUCCUUUAGUUGUUUCGAGAUUUAGAAAUUAAUUCCAUUAUUAGUAAUUUCGUUUCCGAGUUUUUGAAUCACAAAAUUUUAAUAAAAUAAUUUUAUAAGUUAAAGUAUUUAAUAAUGAAAAUUUUAUAAAUUGAAAUAUUUAAUAAAUCAAAUUAAAAAUUAAAAUUGUCACAAUAAUUUUAUAAAAAUUACAGAGUAACUUUAUGUAUUUAGUCGGAUAUAUUUAUUUAAAAAAAAUAUUCUGCAUGUUAUUUUUAGUUGGUUAAGAAAACAGUUUUUGUAAUAUUUGGACAAAAUGCAAAAUCAGAAACAAAGAUCUUUCACCAACAGUUUUCAUGAAAUCAAAUUGAUAGAUCAACACCAAAAAUUGUGUUGGUGAAUGAGAGCUAUAAUUAAUAAUUUAUCACAGAGCGUGUGAAUCCAAGCAAGAAUUUGGACAUAGAAAUCGGCCAUGGCGAACACAAUAAUGUCCAAGAAAGUACCAAAAAGCAAACAAAUUAACGAAAGGACGAGAGUUGAAAAGGUUGAAUUUCAUCCACCGGGAUUUCUUUUAUUUAUAUGUUUUUCUGUUUUUAUUUCACAAUAACGUACAGAGCAGAGACAGUGACUACCCACGUGCCAUGUUUGCUCUGUACAUGAUAUAUAUCUUGUGAUGGAUAUGAAUGUACCUUUGGGAAAAGUUUCUGCGUCUUUACAUGUUUGUCAACCUGCUAAAAUUGUCGGUCACAUUCAGAAUUGUGGAACUAAUACAUACCAAAAACAAAGCAUCCCCUUAAUAUUUUUAUCUUCUUUUUACAUUUAACGUGUUUUUAAUUUUAGUUGUCAAAUAAUUAAUUAUAGACAAAAUAAGCCUAAUUUAUAAUAGUCUUUUUUUUCUGAAAUCUAAUUUACAGUAAUCUAAUACAUAUAAAAAAAUUAAUAAAUUAUAAAUUAUUCUAAUAGGCCUGCCUAAUCAAAAAAGCAAAACUACCUUUGGAUUGGAAGAUUGUCUUCUAUCGAUGCAGAAAUGCAAUUAUUUUUAUUAUUAGUAUUAUUUUUUAAUGCAAAGUGAUGGAAGAAUGCUCACAUACUUUGACUCCACAGGACCACAUUAGUACCGCCUCGACAGGUAAUCACUCGAUUUAAUUUUUUCCAUGAUUUGGUGUAACUACCGCGGAUCUUUCCUUUUUUUUUUUUCUUGGUUUGAUUAUAUUUUGCUGAUUAAAUAUAUUUGACAUAAUAAAAAGAAUUAGUGUUUUUUCAUAGGAAAAACAGAUAAAAUGUUUUAAAAAAAAUAUAUAUUUUUUAAAAAAAUUAAAUAUGAGCUUCGUGUUUAAUCUAUCUUUUAUACAAAAAAAAAAUCAGAAACUAAUUCACAAAAAUGGAAAAACAUCAAAUUAAUAGUAAAAUAUAUUCUAUAUAAUAUAAGAUAUCUUAAUCUAUAAGUAAUUCUCUUUCUCAAAAAAAAAAAAAAANNNNNNNNNNNNAUAUAUAUAUAUAUAUAUAUAUAUAUUUUGUACAUGCUUAAAUUAAUUAAAGCUUGAGGGUGAGUGCAUAUGUAACCGUCCACAAGGACUCCAGUCCAAAUUGUCAUUCUCCUAGUGCAAAGUGGAGGAAAUAAAAUUGCACGUGAUAUUGUACAACAUAUACUCUGAUGUGUUACUAUUUUCCUUUUCCGACAUCUGAAUAUCAUCACGUGGUAAUCAUUUAAAACAAUUCUUACAAAAAAUUUAAUUAUGUUCUAUUAAGAAAUUCUACAAUCAAAUUAUUUUGUGAUAGAAUUUAGGUUGUAAUAGAAAAGAAGAAUAGGAUAUUAAUUAGGCGAUUGUUAUAAAUUUGGAAGUAAUAAAAUUUAUUUCUAUUGUUUGUAAUAAUUAAAAAAAAAAUCAGAUAACUUAUUUAACUUACUAUUUUUAAUAGUACCAUUGAAAUUUCUUUUUCUUUGUUUUAAAAAAAAUAUUGAAUUUUCUGUUUAAUCCAAUAGGUAAUAUUUUUUUUUAUAUAUAAAAGAAUUUAACUAUUCCAUAAUAUGUUAUGGAGUAUUAGUGAUUAAAUUAAAUUCUGUGGAAUUAAAUCUUUACAUUUCUUCAAAUUGCUAAUGGACUUAUUAACGAGUCAAUAAUUUAUUAUCAGCAAUAUCGGAAUAAGGAUUCAAUCCUGUUGAUGCCUUCUGUACGUGAUAGUUGCAUUGUGACUGGGUUCUUUUGAUCGUCAAAUUGCCACGCAUUAUAUAAUAAAGGAAAGAUAUAAAACCAUAAAAGAGUAACACUCAUUAUAUAUAUAACAGUAUUCAACAUAAGAACAACCAACUAGGGGCCGGUGCUCAGAUGGUACGUACAAGCCAAAAUACAAACACUAAAAGAACAGAAGACUAAACCUCCGUUUCUUAUUCCCAACAUUUUAUCUAUUAAUGCUGGUCAGUAACCAGACACUUGAUUAAUUAGUUCUCAGUUGGAGGCUUGUGCGGUGGCUUUUGGGGCGGCUUAUGGGGUGGCAGGUGUUUUAAUGGUGGUUUCUCUCCCUUUCCUUUAUAUGAAUCCUCAACUAACUCUUCCUCAGCCAAAAGAUGUCCAUGUGGUGGCUUGUGGGGUGGCUUGUGUUUUGGUACUGGUUUCUGUCCCUUUCCUUUAUAUGAAUCCUCGGCUAGCUCUUCCUCAGCCAAAAGAUGUCCAUGUGGCGGCUUAUGCUUUGGUGGUGGCUUAUUACCCUUAUGUGAGUCCUCUACAACCUCUGUAGCUAAAAGACGUCUGAGGGGUGGUUUGUGCUCUGGUGGUGGCUUGUGCGGUGGUUUGUGCUCGGAUGAUGGCUUUUGAGGUGGAAAAUUCUUAGGAGGUGGUUUCUCUCCCUUACCCUUAAAUGGCGGUUUUUGGAAGUCCUCUACGCUAUCCUCGCUUAAUAGGUGCCCAUGUGGUGGCUUGUGUGGUGGUUUGUGCUCUGGUGUUGGCUUUUGAGGUGGAAAAUUCUUAGGUGGUGGCUUUUGAGGUGGAAAAUUCUUAGGAGGUGGGUUCUCUCCCUUACCCUUAAAUGGUGGUUUUUGGAAGUCCUCUUCGCUAUCCUCACUUAAUAGGUGACCAUGUGGUGGCUUGUGUGGGGGGUUGUGCUCUGGGGGUGGCUUUUGAGGUGGGAAAUUCUUAGGUGGUGGCUUUUGAGGUGGAAAAUUCUUAGGAGGUGGGUUCUCUCCCUUACCCUUAAAUGGUGGUUUUUGGAAGUCCUCUUCGCUAUCCUCACUUAAUAGGUGACCAUGUGGUGGCUUGUGUGGUGGGUUGUGGUCUGGUGUUGGCUUUUGAGGUGGAAAAUUCUUAGGAGGUGGUUUCUCUCCCUUACCCUUGUAAGGUGGAUCAUGGACAUCCUCUACAUUAUCCUCACUUAACAGAUGACCAUGUGGUGGCUUGUGCUGUGAGUGGUGGUGAUCAUAAUGAUCAGCUAAUGAAGAAGAAAUGGAGAGAAUCACGACUGCUCCAAUAAGGAGCAACACUCGCAAGUUUUUAGAAGAGAACAUGUUUGA